Molossus molossus (Pallas's mastiff bat) is the source of this 336-nucleotide long non-coding RNA. RefSeq lists it as uncharacterized. The transcript is spliced from 3 exons. The record is from RefSeq and is a predicted model, not a curated record. Lineage: Eukaryota; Metazoa; Chordata; Mammalia; Chiroptera; Molossidae.
UUCCCUCCGCAGAUCCUGGCGCUCAGGAGCGGACGGAGGGAGAGCGCAGAGAUGGCGCAGAGGAAAAGUUGCAGAUUCAGCGCGUCUGUGGGAAGAGGAGCCCAGCAUAGUCCUAUGUCACCAUCUCGAGCCCCAAGACUCUCCAUCUUAAAGGACGAAUACAAGGCCCCACCCGGAUGAAGGGGUGGCGUAGGACUGUGGACACCCAGACAAGCUCAUGGCAAGCGCACUGCUCUAUCCAAGGAUCACCACCUGGACUGGAGAGAGUGAAGACGGGUGAGAUGGAGCUCCGGGAAGGUAAAAAGGAAACAGCCACAGUUUAAACGAAAUCUGGUG